Molecule: ribosomal RNA, 545 nt
Filed under: uncultured archaeon
Lineage: Archaea
Description: bacterial SSU rRNA
Rfam family: Archaeal small subunit ribosomal RNA
Source: RNAcentral
CUCAGUACACGUGGAUAACCUGCCCUAAGGUGGAGCAUAACCCCGGGAAACUGGGGAUAAUACUCCAUAGGUUAUGGAUGCUGGAAUGCUUCAUAACUCAAAGCUCCGGCGCCUUAGGAUGGAUCUGCGGUCGAUUAGGUUGUUGUUGGGGUAACGGCCCAACAAGCCUGUAAUCGAUACGGGUUGUGGGAGCAAGAGCCCGGAGAUGGAAUCUGAGACACGAUUCCAGGCCCUACGGGGCGCAGCAGGCGCGAAAACUUUACAAUGCAGGAAACUGUGAUAAGGGAACCCCGAGUGCCCGUAUACGCGGGCUGUCCAGGUGUGUAAAAAGCACCUGAAGAAAGGGCCGGGCAAGACCGGUGCCAGCCGCCGCGGUAAUACCGGCGGCUCGAGUGGUGGCCACUUUUAUUGGGCUUAAAGCGUCCGUAGCUGGACUCCUAAGUCCCUUGGGAAAUCUCUUGGCUUAACCAAGAGGCGUCUAAGAGAUACUGGGAGUCUAGGGACCGGGAGAGGUGAGAGGUACUCCGGGGGUAGGAGUGAAAUCC